RNAcentral lists this small nuclear RNA (144 nucleotides) under Cervus hanglu yarkandensis (Yarkand deer). RNAcentral describes it as "U2 spliceosomal RNA (ENSCHYG00000002242.1)". The stretch from base 1 to 129 matches the Rfam family "U2 spliceosomal RNA". Rfam says of the family: U2 is a small nuclear RNA (snRNA) component of the spliceosome (involved in pre-mRNA splicing). The record is from RNAcentral. Lineage: Eukaryota; Metazoa; Chordata; Mammalia; Artiodactyla; Cervidae.
AUCACUUCUUGGCCUUUUGGCUAGGAUCAAAUGUAGUAUCUGUUCUUAGCAGAUUAAAGCAUACUUCAGUGAUGCUAAAACUUCCAUAUUCGUUUUCUUUGAAGAUGCCAUAUUAAAAACUGAUCACCAGCCAAGUCAACAUUA